RNAcentral lists this ribosomal RNA (478 nucleotides) under uncultured bacterium. RNAcentral describes it as "bacterial SSU rRNA". It matches the Rfam family "Bacterial small subunit ribosomal RNA", at positions 968 to 1449 of the family's 1533-position model. The record is from RNAcentral.
ACCUUACCAAGGCUUGACAUAUACAGGAAUAUGGCAGAGAUGUCAUAGCCGCAAGGUCUGUAUACAGGUGGUGCAUGGUUGUCGUCAGCUCGUGUCGUGAGAUGUUGGGUUAAGUCCCGCAACGAGCGCAACCCUCGUUCUGUGUUGCCAGCAUUUAGUUGGGGACUCACAGGAGACUGCCGGGGUUAACUCGGAGGAAGGUGGGGAUGACGUCAAAUCAUCAUGCCCCUUAUGUCUUGGGCUGCACGCAUGCUACAAUGGCUGGUACAAACGGCUGCGAUACCGCAAGGUGGAGCGAAUCCGAUAAAGCCAGUCUCAGUUCGGAUUGGGGUCUGCAACUCGACCCCAUGAAGUCGGAGUUGCUAGUAAUCGUAGAUCAGCAACGCUACGGUGAAUACGUUCCCGGGGCUUGUACACACCGCCCGUCACAUCACGAAAGUCGGUAACACCCAAAGUCAGUGGCCCAACCGCAAGGAGG